This 486-nucleotide ribosomal RNA is filed under the name uncultured bacterium. Its description in RNAcentral is "partial 16S ribosomal RNA". It matches the Rfam family "Bacterial small subunit ribosomal RNA", at positions 30 to 507 of the family's 1533-position model. The record is from RNAcentral.
AUUGAACGCUGGCGGCAUGCCUUACACAUGCAAGUCGAACGGCAGCACGGGUGCUUGCACUUGGUGGCGAGUGGCGAACGGGUGAGUAAUACAUCGGAACAUGUCCUGUAGUGGGGGAUAGCCCGGCGAAAGCCGGAUUAAUACCGCAUACGAUCUACGGAUGAAAGCGGGGGACCUUCGGGCCUCGCGCUAUAGGGUUGGCCGAUGGCUGAUUAGCUAGUUGGUGGGGUAAAGGCCUACCAAGGCGACGAUCAGUAGCUGGUCUGAGAGGACGACCAGCCACACUGGGACUGAGACACGGCCCAGACUCCUACGGGAGGCAGCAGUGGGGAAUUUUGGACAAUGGGCGAAAGCCUGAUCCAGCAAUGCCGCGUGUGUGAAGAAGGCCUUCGGGUUGUAAAGCACUUUUGUCCGGAAAGAAAUCCUUGGCCCUAAUACGGUCGGGGGAUGACGGUACCGGAAGAAUAAGCACCGGCUAACUACGUG